CAAUGAAUAUCCUCUGCUUAAAUAUGAAAUGGGCAUAAAAUGUUAGUGACUUGACUUAAACAGUUUCCUAAAUUUCUAUUUUUGAAGCUUGGGUCUUUGUAGCUUGGCAAUUUUGACUUUGCUUCAAAAAAGUUUACACACCUCUAAAAUUACUUUUCUGCUUAAUUCUCUCACUACAAGUGCUGUGUACCCUGUUUAACAGAUAUUUUUGGAAUCUCCAUUUUCUAGUAGGGCAAUAGGUAUAUUGAAACGACAAAACUGUUGCUCCCCUUCAAAAUGAUUGACCCAAGAGCCGGGAAUAGAAUUUGCUCUGCUUCCAGGAUGCAGGUGUGGGGCAGUCUGGGUGAUGGUCAAGGUCCACCCCGAUUCCUGGCUCCCUCUCCAGAUCCCCUACCUAGUGGCUGCCCACUACUCAGGACAAAGAGCUCCACUGAAGCAGCAGAGAGGAGGCAGAUUAGACUCGGCACCAAGAGCCGUUGAUAAGCAGCUGUAGGUUGCGGCCAUUACAAAUCUGUGGCCAAAAACC
This 526-nucleotide long non-coding RNA is filed under the name Bos taurus (domestic cattle). RNAcentral's name for it is "long non-coding RNA NONBTAT025632". The record is from RNAcentral. Lineage: Eukaryota; Metazoa; Chordata; Mammalia; Artiodactyla; Bovidae.